Long non-coding RNA from Centruroides sculpturatus (bark scorpion), 1366 nucleotides. RefSeq lists it as uncharacterized. The transcript is spliced from 3 exons. The record is from RefSeq and is a predicted model, not a curated record. Lineage: Eukaryota; Metazoa; Arthropoda; Arachnida; Scorpiones; Buthidae.
AAUUAUUUAUACUAUGUAAAUAAAUUUAAAACUUUCAACAUAAAUUUAAUAUUAAUCAUGAAGACUUUUAAAAAGUUUUCCAUCUUAUAUUAUUAUUAAUCAUUAUUGAUAGAUUUUACACUUGAAUAAGAUAGUUGACCAAUAAUAAUUGAUACAUAACUAUUACACGAGUUUCAGUUCAACAUUAAGCAAGUGUUUUUAUUCUAUAAAACAAAUUCCAGUUGGUGGGGAAAGGGUGUAAGGGUUAACUGUUCAGCAAAUUAAUUACUGCAUAAGAUGAAUUUCAAGUUAUUGAUAAAAUGAGGUAAGUUUUUUUUGUUAUUCGCUUUUUGUAUCAGGCAAAGAAAUGUUUAUAACAUCACCAUUAACACUUAUUUCAUUGGGGAUAUUUUCAUGAAUACACUUCAUUACACAUUUGCAUCAUUUUAAUAUUUGAUGAUGUAUAGAAGAAAACUUUUUUAAUUGUUUAAAAAAUAUUGAGAUAUCAAUAAUUCAGUAGUUACAAUUUUUUGCAUUCAUGCAUAAUUUUUACAAUAAAUAUGAAAAGAAUUUGUGUGAAUCAACAAAGAUUAUGUAAUGAAUUAUAUUUUGUGUAAAAAAUCAAAUUUUCAGAUUUUAUUUGCUAUUGCUAAUAGAUAUAUAUAUAUAUAUAUAUUUAAUAGAUCUACAGUAAAUAGUACUUUAAAAUGCAUGUUUAUUUUUUUAAAUUAUAUGAAUUGAAUUUAAUUUAGACAAUGAGCAUUACUAUUUCUUUAUAAAUGUAUUUUUAUAUUUUUUUAAAUAAAUACAAAAACGUGGCAGUUUAUAGAUUUAUUGUAAUAUUAAUUUUUAGAUUUUAUGGAAUGUAUUUUCUCUUCAUUUACAAUCAAAAUUUAUUAAGAAGAAAUUUCAGAAUAGUGCAUUAAAUUCAUGUCUAAACUUUUUUUAUUUUUAUUCAUAAUUAUUUAAUUUCUAUUGGUUUACUUAGAUCUUUGUAUUUGAAACAGAUAAAACCAUCGCCAAAUUAACAAUUACUUCAGGGAUUCUUAUUUAUUUGAACAUUAAAGAAACUUAAUGGAAGUAGUUUGUAUUAAAGUGCAUGGUUACAGAUUUUUCUCCCAUCAAAAGAUGUUUCCCUGUCAAUCACCACUUUCAAAUCAUCAGGAGAUACAGCCAUUCAAGGUGAUUUUGCUUUCUCAAGAAUUAGUUAAAUGACUUACAUAGCUGAGUAACUCAGUUUAUAUAAUCAUUUGUACAUGGCAGUCAUAUUCGGUUAAGUUUUGUAGACUGUGACUUAGCUAAUUAUCAAAUACACUGUCGUCUGUUAUAAUGUCAUGUUUAAGUGAAUAUUAUUGUCAGUAAAUUGAAUAAAAAAUAUAUAAAUAAC